RNAcentral lists this ribosomal RNA (253 nucleotides) under uncultured bacterium. Its description in RNAcentral is "partial 16S ribosomal RNA". It matches the Rfam family "Bacterial small subunit ribosomal RNA", at positions 524 to 776 of the family's 1533-position model. The record is from RNAcentral.
UACGGAGGGUGCAAGCGUUAUCCGGAUUCACUGGGUUUAAAGGGUGCGUAGGCGGACAAGUAAGUCAGUGGUGAAAUCUCUGGGCUUAACUCAGAAACUGCCGUUGAUACUAUUUGUCUUGAAUAUCUUGGAGGUAAGCGGAAUAUGUCAUGUAGCGGUGAAAUGCUUAGAUAUGACAUAGAACACCAAUUGCGAAGGCAGCUGGCUACAGGGAUAUUGACACUGAGGCACGAAAGCGUGGGGAUCAAACAGG